AACGAACGCUGGCGGCGCGCCUAAUACAUGCAAGUCGAGCGAGAAGACGUAGCAAUACGUUUGUAAAGCGGCGAACGGGUGAGGAAUACAUGGGUAACCUACCCUCGAGUGGGGAAUAACUAGCCGAAAGGUUAGCUAAUACCGCGUACGCUCCUUGGACUUCGGUUCAGGGAGGAAAGCGAUACCGUGGGUAUCGCGCUCUUGGAUGGGCUCAUGUCCUAUCAGCUUGUUGGUGAGGUAACGGCUCACCAAGGCUUCGACGGGUAGCUGGUCUGAGAGGACGAUCAGCCACACUGGCACUGCGACACGGGCCAGACUCCUACGGGAGGCAGCAGUAAGGAAUAUUGCGCAAUGGGCGAAAGCCUGACGCAGCGACGCCGCGUGGGGGAUGAAGGUCUUCGGAUUGUAAACCACUGUCGGGAGGGACGAAGCUCUGACGGUACCUCCAAAGGAAGCACCGGCUAACUCUGUGCCAGCAGCCGCAGUAAG
This 489-nucleotide ribosomal RNA is filed under the name uncultured bacterium. Its description in RNAcentral is "bacterial SSU rRNA". It matches the Rfam family "Bacterial small subunit ribosomal RNA", at positions 29 to 524 of the family's 1533-position model. The record is from RNAcentral.